RNAcentral lists this unclassified non-coding RNA (335 nucleotides) under soil metagenome. RNAcentral's name for it is "partial contains 5.8S ribosomal RNA, internal transcribed spacer 2, and large subunit ribosomal RNA". The stretch from base 1 to 120 matches the Rfam family "5.8S ribosomal RNA", at positions 35 to 154 of the family's 154-position model. The record is from RNAcentral.
GAUGAAGAACGUAGCGAAAUGCGAUAAGUAAUGUGAAUUGCAGAAUUCAGUGAAUCAUCGAAUCUUUGAACGCACAUUGCGCCCGCCAGUAUUCUGGCGGGCAUGCCUGUUCGAGCGCCAUUUCAACCAUCAAGCCCCCGGCUUGUGUUGGGGACCUGCGGCUGCCGCAGGCCCUGAAAACCAGUGGCGGGCUCGCUAGUCACUCCGAGCGUAGUAAUACAUCUCGCUCAGGGCGUGCUGCGGGUUCCGGCCGUUAAAAAGCCUUAUUUACCCAAGGUUGACCUCGGAUCAGGUAGGAAGACCCGCUGAACUUAAGCAUAUCAAUAAGCGGAGGA